This 251-nucleotide long non-coding RNA is filed under the name Hordeum vulgare. RNAcentral's name for it is "long non-coding RNA (HVUL_LNC000268)". The record is from RNAcentral. Lineage: Eukaryota; Viridiplantae; Streptophyta; Magnoliopsida; Poales; Poaceae.
UGUAGGCCGCAAACUUUAGUAUUCUUACGGGGACAUGUUGUAGGCCGCAAACUUUAUUAGUUUAUUUGGUUAGUUUAUAAGGCUAUUUAUUAGGCUAAUUAGGUUAGUAUUAUUAGUUUAUUAAGUUAGUUUAUUAGGUCAAUUAGGUUAGUUAGUUAGGUUAGAAUAAAAAGAAGAAAAGAAGAAGGAAAAAAAUGAAAAAUAAAAAAGGAAAAGAAGAAAAGAAUUAGAAGAAGAAGAAGGAAAAGAAG